Molecule: ribosomal RNA, 254 nt
Filed under: uncultured organism
Description: partial 16S ribosomal RNA
Rfam family: Bacterial small subunit ribosomal RNA
Source: RNAcentral
UACGUAGGGGGCAAGCGUUGUCCGGAUUUAUUGGGCGUAAAGAGCUCGUAGGCGGUUUGGUAAGUCAGGUGUGAAACCUCUAGGCUUAACCUGGAGACGCCACUUGAUACUGCUAUGACUUGAGUCUGGUAGGGGACCAUGGAAUUCCUGGUGUAGCGGUGAAAUGCGCAGAUAUCAGGAGGAACACCAGUAGCGAAGGCGGUGGUCUGGGCCAGUACUGACGCUGAGGAGCGAAAGCGUGGGGAGCGAACAGG